UGGGUAAACUGCGCUACCUCUACAGAGUGUAUUCAAUCUAUCGAUAGCCGCGUCCUCGGUCAUGGGAAAAAGUACGUCGUAGGUCACACUAUCGGAUCUUGGUCGAAAUGGAGGAUAAACCUGCUAAUAACUUGUGUGUUAAUUAAAAUGUGAUAAAUCGUGUGAUGACUUGGACUGUGGGAAAAUCGUGAGAAGCCGCGAUGAUGUGUGGAUAUGACCCCGAGACAAGGUCUUGGAAAGUCACGCGUGUGCUCUGAGGAGCCGUGGCAGAGUAAGUGAUUGUUGCAUAAGGUUAAUACAUCAUGUCUUCACGGAAGGUAAUUGGUAGUUUAUUUCCAGCAUAGUUUCGUGAUGCCAUGCUAUGUUUUGAUAUGUUAUGCUUGUUGUUGUUAUGUUAGAAGUAAAUUUGAUAUGCCAUGCUAGUAGAUGGUGUGCUGUUGUUCAUGCUUAGUUUGAUUUAUGAUUCGAGUUAAUAUCAUGGCAUGCGUAGAAGUUGUGUUGAAGUAGACUAUUGCAUAUGCUUGGUUCUUGCUUCGUCAUCUGUUUGUUUGGAUGCUAUGUAUUUGGUUGUCUUGCAAGUACAUUCAAUGUACUGACCCGGCUUCUCAUCCCAGUUUUGUAGGUCGUGCCCAAAUUGUUCGCUUGUUUCAUCGUGCUAGGCCGUAAUCUUGCCAGUCUUGUGAGUUGUGGAGCCAAUCCUAAGUGAGAUGCUGCCAAACCAAGACUUCUAUUGCUAGUUAAAUAGACUUCCGCUGCCAUUUAAAUAGCCUUAGGUCUAUGCUAGAUAAUUGUAUUCAUCAAUGAUGUAAUCUUAUAUACAUGUAUUUGAUGAAUAUUAUUGUACUUGGAAUGAUGUAUCAUGGACCUGUCGUGCAUCAGGUGUUAUCCUAGGCUGACGUGCGAAGGCCCCCUGCUCCAUGCGGAUCGGGGUGCUGAUAACCCACAAGUAUAGGGGAUCGCAACAGUUUUCGAGGGUGAAGUAUUCAACCCAAAUUUAUUGAUUCGACACAUGGGGAGCAAAAG
This 1023-nucleotide long non-coding RNA is filed under the name Triticum aestivum (bread wheat). Its description in RNAcentral is "long non-coding RNA (TAES_LNC019839)". The record is from RNAcentral. Lineage: Eukaryota; Viridiplantae; Streptophyta; Magnoliopsida; Poales; Poaceae.